CAGGUGCUGCAUGGCUGUCGUCAGCUCGUGUCGUGAGAUGUUCGGUUAAGUCCGCUAACGAGCGCAACCCUCGCUGUGUGUUAUAUGUGUCACACGGGACUGCCGGUCUUAAGCCGGAGGAAGGUGGGGAUGAUGUCAAGUCAGCAUGGCCCUUAUAUCCUGGGCUACACACACGCUACAAUGGCCAACACAAUAGGUUGCUAAGCCGCGAGGUGGCGCCAAUCCAUAAAGUUGGUCUCAGCUCAGAUUGUAGGCUGCAACCCGCCUGCAUGAAGAUGGAGUUGCUAGUAACCGCAGGUCAGCUAUACUGCGGUGAAUACGUUCCCGGGGCUU
RNAcentral lists this ribosomal RNA (333 nucleotides) under uncultured Leptolinea sp. RNAcentral's name for it is "bacterial SSU rRNA". It matches the Rfam family "Bacterial small subunit ribosomal RNA", at positions 1035 to 1382 of the family's 1533-position model. Lineage: Bacteria; Bacillati; Chloroflexota; Anaerolineae; Anaerolineales; Anaerolineaceae. The record is from RNAcentral.